This 484-nucleotide ribosomal RNA is filed under the name uncultured bacterium. Its description in RNAcentral is "partial 16S ribosomal RNA". It matches the Rfam family "Bacterial small subunit ribosomal RNA", at positions 30 to 507 of the family's 1533-position model. The record is from RNAcentral.
AUUGAACGCUGGCGGCAGGCCUAACACAUGCAAGUCGAGCGGAUGAAGGGAGCUUGCUCCUGGAUUCAGCGGCGGACGGGUGAGUAAUGCCUAGGAAUCUGCCUGGUAGGGGGGGAUAACGUCCGGAAACGGGCGCUAAUACCGCAUACGUCCUGAGGGGGAACGUGGGGGAUCUUCGGACCUCACGCUAUCAGAUGAGCCUAGGUCGGAUUAGCUAGUUGGUGGGGUAAAGGCCUACCAAGGCGACGAUCCGUAACUGGUCUGGGAGGAUGAUCAGUCACACUGGAACUGAGAGACGGUCCAGACGCCUACGGGAGGACGCAGUGUGGAAUAUGGGAAGAUGGGCGAAAGCCUGAUCCAGCCAUGCCGCGUGUGUGAAGAAGGUCUUCGGAUUGGAAAGCACUUUGAGUUGGGAGGAAGGGCAGUAAGUUAAUACCUUGCUGUUUUGACGUUACCAACAGAAUAAGCACCGGCUAACUUCGUG